CCCACUUCUCACUUCCCACAUUUUACAUACCACUUCCCACAUCCAACAUCUUGUGGGAAAUGGGAGAGAUGUGAGAAGUGGGAUAUAAAAGGUGGGAAGCGUGAUAAGAAAAGUGUAAUGUACAAUGUGAGAUGUGAAGUGUGAAAAGUGAAAUGUGAGAAGUGGGAUGUGAAAUGUGGGAAGUGAGAUGUGGAAUUGAAAUAUGGGAAGUGGGAUGUGGUAUGUGAAAUAUGGGAAGUGGGACAUGAAAUAUGGGAAGUAAGAAGUGAGAUGUGAAAUAUGGGAAGUGGGAUAUGAAAUAUGGGAAGUGAGAAGUGAGAUGUGAAAUAUGGGAAGUGGGAUGUGGUAUGUGAAAUAUGGGAAGUGGGAAGUGGAUAUGAAAUAUAGGAAGUAAGAAGUGAGAUGUGAAAUAUGGGAAGUGGGAUGUGGUAUGUGAAAUAUGGGAAAUGGGAAGUGGAUAUGAAAUAUGGGAAGUAAGAAGUGAGAUGUGAAAUAUGGGAAGUUGGAUAUGAAAUAUGGGAAGUAAGAAGUGAGAUGUGAAAUAUGGGAAGUGGGAUGUGGUAUGUGAAAUAUGGGAAAUGGGAAGUGGAUAUGAAAUAUGGGAAGUAAGAAGUGAGAUGUGAAAUAUGGGAAGUUGGAUAUGAAAUAUGGGAAGUAAGAAGUGAGAUGUGAAAUAUGGGAAGUUGGAUAUGAAAUAUGGGAAGUAAGAAGUGAGAUGUGAAAUAUGGGAAGUGGGAUAUGAAAUAUGGGAAGUGAGAUGUGGGAAAUGGGAUGUGGGAAUUGAGAAGUGGAAUGUAAAAUGUAGGAAGUGAGAUGUGGGAUGUAAAAUGUGGGAAGUGAGAUGUGGGAUGUGGUAAAGUUACGUAAUCGACCCCCAGGUGUUACCAAUUAAUAAACAUUUGAAUUAGUGUUAACUAAAAUUUAACUCAUAAAAUUUUCAAUAAAACAAUGCGUCAACAGGCGAAAAGUAGGACUGAUCCACCACUAGAUUUUGUUACUUUUUUGGUUCCAGUCGUGGAUCACCCGAAAACAAUGGACACGCGCUACUUACAGACGUAAAUAUUGUUCUCAGGGCUCUAUGGGGAUGAAACGAAAUGCCUCCUAUUGUGAAAAGAAUUAAAAAUUGUCCUAAAAUGGCUCCAAAGCUUUCUAUUCCAAAAUAUACUCUUAACUUACAUGUUAAGGAAAACUCUUGUUUUCUGUCACCACUUUAGUAAUUGUUGUCCUGCUUUCUUCGCGAUGAAUUUAAAAUUUUUUUUAAAUUGUAAUAUUGAUCUGUAUAACUUUCUUAACAAUUACCGACACUUGCGGUUCAUUUAUUUACAAACGUGUAAACACAAAUGACCAUUAUUCUCGCAGUUGAUCCACCACUGGUGCAUGAUCCACCACUGGUGCAGUUACCCUAUCUUUGGCAGAAUAUGU
Long non-coding RNA from Leptopilina boulardi, 1422 nucleotides. RefSeq lists it as uncharacterized. The record is from RefSeq and is a predicted model, not a curated record. NCBI's taxonomy places the organism in Eukaryota, Metazoa, Arthropoda, Insecta, Hymenoptera, Figitidae. The transcript has 4 exons.